GAGUUCCAGGGACCUGGCUGGGAAGCAACUGUCCUCAGUGCCCACAGGACCAGUUCAUGGGAUGUGUCUGUAUAUCUGUAUAUCGGGCCCUGAGGCCCGCCUUUAGCCCACCUCCCCUCCUGAGGUCUCCUUCUGCCAGUCACCUGCUUAGUGCCCCUGCACCCUGGUGUCAGGCAGCCCCCCAGAGUUGCAUCCCUCCCUCCUGUAGUUACCCAAUGCUCUAUGAGCCCCUGUCAGCCGGGACCUCAGCAUGGGCUCACCACUGCCCUGCCCCCAGCACUCCCCUUCAUCACGGGCAUCAGGUUGGGCGCCUCUGGGAUGCUCCUUUGCUGCAGCUCUGUGGCUGUCCCCGUGAGGGUCCUCCCUCAGUGUAGCCCCAUCGCUCCAGUGGUGCUGGCGCGGUGAACCCGAUUGGCUCCCUGCCUCCUGCCUCCCUGUUCAGUCUAAACGGCACAGUCUAGUGUAGGAGCCACUAGAGCAUGCAGCUAUUCAAAUUCAAAUUAAAUUAAAUUAAGCCGGGUAUGGUGGUAUGAGACUAGUCCCAACUACUCGCGAGGCUGAGAUGGGAGGAUUGCUUGAGUCCAGGAGUUCACAUCCAGCCUGAGUAGCAUACGUCUCGUCUCUAAAAAAAAAAACAGAAACAUUAUGGAAGGAGCCUCUGGGGACGAGGAGCUGUUGUCCUGAGUGGACCAGUGACCAGGGCAGGAGGGGUGGAGUCCUAGCAGGGGUAGAGCCCAGCUUUGGGAACCAGCUUUCGCAGGCACUUGCCGGCUCCUCCGUGGGAAAGUCCUCAGGCAGCCUGUAGGGAGCUGGGAUCAGCUGAUGGGGAUGGGUUUGGAGGGGAGAGAGUGGUGCACAGGGACUGGAGGUGGGGGAGGGGUGGGGUUGCCAUGGAAAGGGCUCGUGGGAUGGGUCUUGGGCUGAGCCUUUGGCAAGGCCUCCACCCUGGAGCUGAGCCAGCAGAGAGGGGCUGACUCCGUGAGGCCCAGACUUUUGUGGGUAUUCUGGUGGCGUGGGCACCCUGUCUUCCCUGAACCCUGCCUGCCUAAUCUAAGAACUGCUCCCUUUGUAGCUCUGUCUCUCCUCUCUUGGCCUAGUUUCUUCAUCCGUGGGUGGGCACAGCAGAAGCUGUCUGACCUGGCCCAUGGUGAACGGGAUUUGCCAGGAUUUGACUCUGGCCAUCCAGGGAAGAUGGAGUUUUUGACCAGGCCUGGCCCCUGAAGCAGACUUCUUCCCUCUGAGCGUGCUAGGGAAGCAGAAUUUCCCCGGGCUAGGUGUCAUGGUCCACUAGGCCCUCCCUCGUCCAGGCUACUUGUGUUGAGCCUGGAGCAGAACCCCCACAUCUGUAGUCCUCCUGUCAGCUUGGGGAGUCUCAGUUUCCAUCUGUUUCAUUCCCAUCAGCUGUGUGUGGCUGAGCAAGUCACCUAACCUCGAGGCCUCCAUGUCCUCAUCUGCAAAAUGGAGACACACAUAGCUGCAUCCCCAGUGUCCACUGGUAGCUGGAAUGAUAUGUUGACUACAGAGUGACCACUUUGUGUAGGCUUCCCUGUGGGUGGGUGUCAGUCAAAGGAGUGAGUCAGAUGAUGAGAGGGGAGGACAGCAGAGCAGCAGUUGUCUCUCCAGUCUUGCCGGGACUCCAGGAUUGGCCAUGUUCUGCAGCCACCGCCUCUGUCUGUCUCCCCAUGUGGGAUCCUGAAACCUCAAGCUGCAUUUAGUCUCAGAGUCCAGGGGAGGUGCUCACUGUCUUCUGACCCCUCAGAUGCCGACUCCCUCUGCCUUACCCCGGGGAAGGAACCAGUAGCAGAAGCUCCAGGGAAACUGAUGAAGGUCAACAGAAGGAGGAAUUUCUAGCAGCCCAAAGGGAUUGGAAUGGGUGGCCCGUGGGAGUGGACAUGCAGAGGCACUGGCCUGGGGUGAAGGCUUGGACCAAAUUCUUACUCACAGGCCCUCUGGAGCCAGGAGAGGAGUCUGCAGGCCUCGGCUGGGCCACAUUCCCCAGAUUCUGGCCUUAGGUCCUGAAUGCCUGGUGAGUUACUGAGAAAGGCCCCGCAGACUGAGGGUGCCAGUCAGGAUUAAGCAGCCCCCUAAUUGGCCCACCUCCCUUUGUACCUUAACAAAGGUGUCUUUGUUACCUUUCUUAAAGGUAAUAAAGCCGGUCAGGAGCAAAGCCUGGCACGUUCAGGGGGUCGUCUGCAUUUGGUCAUCCAGCAGGAAACCCAAAUGGAAGGAAAGAAAAAAAAAA
This is a long non-coding RNA of Macaca fascicularis (crab-eating macaque), 2242 nucleotides long. The record is from Ensembl. Lineage: Eukaryota; Metazoa; Chordata; Mammalia; Primates; Cercopithecidae.